CCUACGGGAGGCAGCAGCCGCGGUAAUAUUGCACAAUGGGCGAAAGCCUGAUGCAGCGACACCGCGUGCGGGAUGACGGCCUUAGGGUUGUAAACCGCUUUCAGGAGGGAAGAAAAUGACGGUACCUCCAGAAGAAGCUCCGGCCAACUACGUGCCAGCAGCCGCGGUAAU
RNAcentral lists this ribosomal RNA (171 nucleotides) under uncultured bacterium. Its description in RNAcentral is "partial 16S ribosomal RNA". It matches the Rfam family "Bacterial small subunit ribosomal RNA", at positions 338 to 524 of the family's 1533-position model. The record is from RNAcentral.